GUCUCAUUGGUCUAGUUGGUUAUGACGUCGGUCUCAUAUUAGACUGUAUGAUCCACCCUCAGGGUGUGGUUAUCCGAAGGUCGCCAGUUCGACUCUGGCAUGGGACA
Molecule: non-coding RNA, 107 nt
Organism: Pseudovirgaria hyperparasitica
Lineage: Eukaryota; Fungi; Ascomycota; Dothideomycetes; Acrospermales; Acrospermaceae
Source: the annotation of a RefSeq genome assembly